AUUGAACGCUGGCGGCAUGCCUUACACAUGCAAGUCGAACGGCAGCACGGGUGCUUGCACCUGGUGGCGAGUGGCGAACGGGUGAGUAAUACAUCGGAACGUACCUUAUCGUGGGGGAUAACGCAGCGAAAGCUGUGCUAAUACCGCAUACGCCCUGAGGGGGAAAGCGGGGGAUCGAAAGACCUCGCGCGAUUAGAGCGGCCGAUGCCUGAUUAGCUUGUUGGUGGGGUAAAAGCCCACCAAGGCGACGAUCAGUAGCUGGUCUGAGAGGACGAUCAGCCACACUGGGACUGAGACACGGCCCAGACUCCUACGGGAGGCAGCAGUGGGGAAUUUUGAACAAUGGGGGCAACCCUGAUCCAGCAAUGCCGCGUGAGUGAAGAAGGCCUUCGGGUUGUAAAGCUCUUUUGUCAGGGAAAAAACACCGGCUCUAACACAGUCCGGGAAUGACGGUACCUGAAGAAUAAGCACCGGCUAACUACGUGCCAGCCGCCGCCGUAA
This 501-nucleotide ribosomal RNA is filed under the name uncultured bacterium. RNAcentral's name for it is "partial 16S ribosomal RNA". It matches the Rfam family "Bacterial small subunit ribosomal RNA", at positions 30 to 523 of the family's 1533-position model. The record is from RNAcentral.